Molecule: ribosomal RNA, 497 nt
Filed under: uncultured bacterium
Lineage: Bacteria
Description: partial 16S ribosomal RNA
Rfam family: Bacterial small subunit ribosomal RNA
Source: RNAcentral
GAUGAACGCUGGCGGCGUGCCUAAUACAUGCGAGUCGAGCGAACAGACGAGGAGCUUGCUCCUCUGACGUUAGCGGCGGACGGGUGAGUAACACGUGGAUAACCUACCUAUAAGACUGGGAUAACUUCGGGAAACCGGAGCUAAUACCGGAUAAUAUAUUGAACCGCAUGGUUCAAUAGUGAAAGACGGUUUUGCUGUCACUUAUAGAUGGAUCCGCGCCGCAUUAGCUAGUUGGUAAGGUAACGGCUUACCAAGGCAACGAUGCGUAGCCGACCUGAGAGGGUGAUCGGCCACACUGGAACUGAGACACGGUCCAGACUCCUACGGGAGGCAGCAGUAGGGAAUCUUCCGCAAUGGGCGAAAGCCUGACGGAGCAACGCCGCGUGAGUGAUGAAGGUCUUCGGAUCGUAAAACUCUGUUAUUAGGGAAGAACAAAUGUGUAAGUAACUAUGCACCUCUUGACGGUACCUAAUCAGAAAGCCACGGCUAACUACGUG